Molecule: ribosomal RNA, 472 nt
Filed under: Octopus insularis
Lineage: Eukaryota; Metazoa; Mollusca; Cephalopoda; Octopoda; Octopodidae
Description: partial 16S ribosomal RNA
Rfam family: Bacterial large subunit ribosomal RNA
Source: RNAcentral
CCUGCUCGGUGAUUAAAUAUUUAACAGCUGCGGUAUUAUAACUGUACUAAGGUAGCAUAAUAAUUUGCUCUAUAAAUUGGGGCUAGAAUGAAUGGUUUGACGAAAAUUUGACUGUCUCUAUUUUAUUUAUUAGAAAUUAAUUUUUGUAGUGAGAAAGCUUAAAUUGUUUAAAGGGACGAAAAGACCCUAUUGAGCUUAUAUUAUUUUAUAAAUUAUAUGAUUGUUGUUUAUUUAGAAUAAUUUUGAUUGGGGUGAUCAAGGAAUAAGAUUGUUUAAAUUAACUUCCUUAAUUAAUUUGUUUUGUGGAAAAAUAAACCAAAUUUUUUGCUUAGAAGAUAAGUUACCAUAGGGAUAACAGCGUAAUUUUUUUUGAGAGUUCAUAUUGAAAAAAGAGAUUGCGACCUCGAUGUUGGAUUAAAAUUAACCUUAAGGUGAAGAGGCUUUAUUAGGUAAAUCUGUUCGAUUUUUAAAA